UCCAGUAUUGUAGGGGCUUUCUCGAAUGGAGACUCUUGCCAGGGAUCAUAAUGAGAUCAUCUUGCUCUUUAGAUCACGGAACUUACAGUUGAAAAGCCCAGUUAAAAAUAACUGGCUCAUACCGUGAGCCCUGACAUUAUAUAUAUAUAUUUUAACAGGAGAAUAAGAUAAUUGGACUGUCUCAGAUGUUGGUCUUCUCUGGCUAACUUGUGACUGAUGGCCAACAAAAAGACAAUCUUUACAGAGAAGCAGCGUGGAAUAGUGAAUAGAGCACAGGCCUGGAGUCAGAAGUGACCAGGAUUGAGGAUGGAGCUAUCCAUGGUUGAAAUUUUUAAAAAUGAUGCAGAAAUGGCAUGUGCGGAUGCAGCUAUCCAGGAACCAACUAUUCCUCAGCAUGUGGAAGACUGAAGAAAUGCCUCUGAACACCAAAAUUUGAAGAUGUCACCAUAAUCGGCGAUUUUGAGAUUUACAGAUUUUAAGAUCUUUGAAGAGCUGCUAUUGUACCUCCUCAAGCAUCUAGAAGGCACACACAACAGACGUUUAAUAAAUGAUGAUUUGAUGA
This is a long non-coding RNA of Tachyglossus aculeatus (Australian echidna), 562 nucleotides long. RefSeq lists it as uncharacterized. NCBI's taxonomy places the organism in Eukaryota, Metazoa, Chordata, Mammalia, Monotremata, Tachyglossidae. The record is from RefSeq and is a predicted model, not a curated record. The transcript is spliced from 3 exons.